Molecule: long non-coding RNA, 988 nt
Organism: Ictalurus furcatus (blue catfish)
Lineage: Eukaryota; Metazoa; Chordata; Actinopteri; Siluriformes; Ictaluridae
Exons: 2
Source: RefSeq, a predicted model, not a curated record
GUGCGUUUAGAAAGAAACGGCGAUCAUGUGGAGGAUGUUUUGAUAAGAAGUGUUCCUUUCACCCACGUACGGAGACUUUUGGGACACGCUGUAGUUACAUUUAGUCCCAUGGAACUUCUGCUGAAGAAGUUAGUUCCUGUUCUCACGUUACAGCAGCUAUAAACCGUCGCUCCCUCACUAGCCUCUCUUUCUUUCUCUCCAAGGGAAUAAGAGAAAACGAGCCGGUUGGUCACGUCUCUGAGGCUCGAGACUCCUUCGCCGUAUGAGCGAUCACACGUAUAUAACGUAUUACGGUGAGUUUGUGACGUGCAGAUGGAACUGUUGUCAGAGAUGCAGUUAUAGAAAAUGAAUCAACAACAUCUGACCAAUCUAAAUCCAGCAGGGCUGUGGAAUAAACGUGUCCGUGUGCGUGCGUGCGUGCGUGUCCGUCCGUGUUUGGGGGCACAGAUUCAUGGAUUCAUAAAAGUCUGUUAUCGUCAGCUUGUCUUAAAGACUUCCUGUUCACUACAUUCGCUCACUACAUAGGGUGCAAUAUAACGAUAAUGUAAAGCCUAUACGUCUAGACAGAUAAAUAGAUAAACAGUCAGACAGAGAGAUAGAUAGAUAGACAGACAGACGGAUAGAUAGACAGAGAGACAGAUUAGAUAGAUAGACAGAUUGAUAGAUAAACCGUCAGACAGAUAGAUAGACAGACAGACGGAUAGAUAGACAGACAGAGACAGAUUAGAUAGAUAGACAGAUUGAUAGAUAAACCGUCAGACAGAUAGAUAGACAGACAGACGGAUAGAUAAAAUGACGGACAGACGGAUAGAUAGAUAGACAGACACAAAUAGACAGACAAAUAGAUUGAUAGAAAAACCAUCAGACAGAUAGACAGACAGACGGAUAGAUAAAAUGACGGACAGACGGAUAGAUAGAUAGACAGACACAAAUAGACAGACAGAUAGAUUGAUAGAAAAACCAUCAGACAGAUAGACAGACAGACGGA